GGUUAUUUGAAUCUUUAGAAUAUUGGCUGCAGAGAAAGAAACAAAUAAACCUCUGUGCAGAAGAAGCAUAAUUAUAAUAAGAGCAAUGAUGGGAACAGUUGAUACAAGUGAUAGUGAGAAAGGGAUUUGUGAUGAACUAACCUACAACCCCAUCAAUGGAGAUGUUAGAUGCAGAAGCCAAUAAGGAACUUGAUGCUGGAGCUAAGGUUUUUCUCAAAUCUAAAGGUUUAACAAGUGUGGCGUAAUCAGUCUCCGAUUCGAUGUCGGUGUUAAAGAGAUCGAAAGUUGAGCAGCUAGACUCCUCCCCUCAAGACAGUUUGGAUAUAUUGUGUUGACUACCUCUGCCGGCAUCAUGGAUCACGAAGAGGCCAGGAGAAAGGAUGCUGGUGGUAAAGUUCUUGGGUUUUUCUACUAGGCGAGUAUUUUUGUUUUUGAUAAAUUGUUGCUCUAAAUUUCAAUUUUGAGAUGAGGUUUACCAGUUGGAGUGGAUGAUAUUCUUUUACUUUCAUGGUGGUAUGAUAGCGAGAGGUGUUUUUCGUGUGCACUUUGUUUGCUUAAUAGGACUUCUUUAUCAUUAUUUUUCUUAUACCAAAAUAUACUCCAGGAUUGUUUUAUGUUUUAAACUUUGAAGACUUGGAUUA
Molecule: non-coding RNA, 641 nt
Organism: Arachis ipaensis
Lineage: Eukaryota; Viridiplantae; Streptophyta; Magnoliopsida; Fabales; Fabaceae
Source: RefSeq, a predicted model, not a curated record